Molecule: ribosomal RNA, 253 nt
Filed under: uncultured bacterium
Lineage: Bacteria
Description: partial 16S ribosomal RNA
Rfam family: Bacterial small subunit ribosomal RNA
Source: RNAcentral
UACGGGGGGAGCAAGCGUUGUUCGGAUUUACUGGGCGUAAAGCGUGCGCAGGCGGUUCGGAAAGAAAGAUGUGAAAUCCCAGAGCUUAACUUUGGAACUGCAUUUUUAACUCCCGGGCUAGAGUAUGUCAGAGGGGGGUAGAAUUCCACGUGUAGCAGUGAAAUGCGUAGAGAUGUGGAGGAAUACCGAUGGCGAAGGCAGCCCCCUGGGAUAAUACUGACGCUCAGGCACGAAAGCGUGGGGAGCAAACAGG